UUCAAGGAAAAUAUUCCUGUUCUGCUUUAAAGCCCAUAUCUCCAACCUGUCAGAGCAAAUCACAGCAGAGUAUAAGGAGUUUUGAAGGGAGCAAAUCUACACGUCUAGUCCCUUGAAAGUGUCCACCUACAAGAGAGCAAAUCUUCCGUGUUCUGGGAAUUCCCUCCCUCAUUCUGUCAGUGUGGCUGUGCGUUCCUCUGCCAGCCGUCUUUUCUCUUCCUCAGCGCUCAGGCUCUUGACCGCUCCUACUGACAUCACUCAGUGUUCCCGCCACAUACACCUCGACUGCAACUCACAAACCACACACCACCCAUGAGUAUGGUUACUCUCAGGGUAGCCCUGAUGCAUAUUCUUGGUCCCUGCCGCGCUCCUGAAGGCUUCCGGUAGGAGAGGAAGAAGGCUUCCGGUGGGAGAGGGAGAAGGCUUCCGGUGGGGACAAAUCUCUACUUUGUCCUUUGUGGACUUCAUACGAGAUCCAGCUACAUAUUCUCCAAGAACCAGAAGGAAAAUUUUCACCUAUGAAAUGAUUGUCUCCAGAAGGCUACAGCUAACAUAAAAUUGGGAGCAGCACUGAGAAGAUUGAGGAAUCCAUACCUGAAGCUGCCACCUAAUAGCUUUUGGCUGUGACUGAUGACUUAACACUCUGAAUCUCCUUCACUCUAAAUGGUUGUAAAUGGUUGGGGGAGAGGAGGAGAGAGACGGCGAGUGAAGAGAAGGUGGCAAUUCGUUUCCUGCCUUACUCAUUUUCAGGGACUAUUGCGGGAAUCAAAGAAACUGUGAACGGAUUUUGAAAACAAGGGAAGAUCCCCAGUCUCACUGCUGGUGCCUACUCCUGCCCUUCCUUUUGAUUCUUGGCCUGUCAUAUAGAUAGCUGAAAUUCCUCCCAAAUUCAUAGUGUCAGGCAGAAGGUCUGCAGUUUCUGAGCUGGUCUAUGUUCUUAUUUGGGGGACUUAAGUGGGACUGGGGGGAGGUGACCUACCUUGGGGCACUUUAGGUAGCUCUUGACUGAGGGUGGUGGGCAGAAACUCACCUGGAUGUUUAGGUCACACUUUUUUGGUAGCAGAAAGACUUUCCUUCAAGGAUGCUCUAGACUUAGGCAGGACCAAGUGACUUAUUUCCUGUCUAAGUACAAGUGCUUAUACUUGUACUCAUAAAUGCUCAUAAAUGUCCACAGCCAUGUCCCCACUGCAUGGAGAUAUCAUUCUGAGAGAAAGGAGCUGACUGCAGAGAGAGUGAAUGGGCCAGACUGAGAGAAAGAGUGUCCUGAGAGCAGCAUUGCCCCUGCUGUUUCAGUUGUUUCACUCUUAAAAAAAAAAACAACAGAUUGACUCAGUUACAGCAGGAUGGCCACCCUGUUUGAAGGCCCUGGCAACCACCACACUGUUAAUCAAGGAAGCAGACAAACUCAUGUUGGGGCAAAAAUCUAAAUGUUAAGGUUCCCCAUUUAGUUAUUACCCUGAUGGAUGCCAGAGGACAACACUGGUUAACUCGUGUUAGGAUGACCCAAUAUCAGGGACUACUAUGUGAAAACCCACAAGUAAGAUUGGAAGCCAUAAAAACCCUAGGUAUUCAAUGGAACUUACACGCAGCCUACUGGCGCGAGUUCAGAGAAAGUGGGACGUAUGAACUGGACCCUUAAAUCAGCCAUGGCAAAACUGUAUCAGGAAACUAAAUUGCCCUGACCAGAUAUACUACCCCUAGCUCUUGUCCGAGUACGAUGCACACCCCAGACAAAAACAGGAGUCUCCCCAUUCAAGAUCUUACAUGGAAUGUCCCUUACACUAGUCAAAUUCAAGGGGUACCUGACAGAGCUAGGGAAUUUGGAAAUACAAAAACAACUAUAAGGGCUAGGGAGAACUAUAUUUGAGAUACACAGAUGGGUGACAAACAGGAUACCCAUUUCCCUAGGAAUAACUAUAUACCCUCACAAACAUGGGGAUCAGGUUUGGAUAAAAGAUUGGAAACAGGAACCACUGAAACCUACCUGGAAGAGAUCCUAUUUAGUUGUGCUGACCAUGCCCACGGCCCUCAAAUUUGCAGAAUUAACUGCCUGGAUCCACCAUUCUUGAGUAAAGGCAGCCCAUUUGUCAUCUGACAACCACUUGAAAUGGAAAGUAACUGCUAACCAGAAUAAUCCUCUACAGAUCACCCUUAAGAAAACAACGGAUGAUAAGCAGCCUGCAGCCAACACCUGAGAACUCUCUGUAACCAGAAGCUUGAGGAAAUAACCAAGUGACUUGAAUGAACUACAACAAAUCAUUCUCUCUCAAAUUUCAUUGUCAUCUCCUACCUAUUUAUCUUUCUAUACUUGUUAUACUCUUUACUGUAGGGCUUACCCAAGUUACUCCCUCAGAUUGGCACCUUAGUCACAAACUCUUGUUAGCUUCUCUCUACUUAUUAGUGUCAGGAUGUAUUAUUCUCUUUGGAUGUAUAUGAUCUGAGUCGUGAUUGAUGUCGUUCUCUGCAUGUUUGUUCUCUACCUUCUCCUACCACAGGAUGGAAUCAUUCCCUCCGAUGCUGAAUCAGCUUUGUCUCCUAUUCCUGUUGUGAAUAUACCUGUUCCUAACAUGCUCAAAAGGGAUCUUCUCCUCUUACCAACCAUCUACUUUUUCCACUUACCACCGCCCCUCUUGGAGGAAGGUUCCAGAAUAAGUUGCCAAAUCUCUGGUGGUUUUACAGGAUCGAGUAGACUCCUUAGUUGCUGUAGUCUUAUAAAACAGGAGAGGCCCAGACCUGCUAACUGCUGAAAGAGGAGGACUGUGUCUCUUCCUAAAUGAGGAAUGCUGCUUCCAUGUUAACCAAUCAAGGAUAGUUAGAGACAUGGCCCAACAACUAAGGGACCAGAUCAUUGAAUGGAGGCAAGAAUUAGCAGACUCAUGGAACUUUUGCAGCAACAUAUGGAAUUGGGCAUCCUGGCUCCUCCUUCAGCUAGUCCUCUCCUAAUGCUUUUCAAAGCCCUCCUGUUUGGUCCUUCUAUUAAUAUGCUAACCAGGUUUGUUUCCUCUCACCUAGAAGCUAUAAAAUUCCAGAUGAUGCUCCUGUUGGACCAUUCUAGCUGUUGCUACUGUCGUUUGGAUGGUGAAAAACGCUAGCUGUCACACCCCGCCCUUUGACAUCCCUGUCAAGCAGGAAGAAGCCAUAACGGUCUUUGGUCCUCCUCCCAUGACAGCAAGGGGUUCCCCAGUCCCCACAAACUGAUUUUCUCUAAGGCUGCUACAGUAGCUUGAGAAUCAAGAGGGGGAAACGAGAAGGGAAGCCAGCAAGAGCAGAUAAAGGAGGCCAGCCAGAUGUCCAAGGCCACGUACUGCCCUUGCAUGCUUUUGGCUUCUGUAAUCUUGCUUGCUUCUUGCAUCAGCUGACUGCCCUUGUAGCACAACUGAUAGUACCCCACCUCUGUGCAGCCAAUAGAAUGUUUCCAAGUACCCAGAAGCAGCCGGGUAUAAAAGAAGGCCAGCGCCAGGGCUCAGGGCUCAGGGCUCAGUCUUUGGGCCAGCACCAGUGAGAAAUAAACAGUCUUUUCUGAUUCCCUAGGUGCGUGUCACCUGUCUCUUCCUGGGUACUGACUAUUUGCUGUAACAACCUGAGCCAAAAAUCAAGAGUCAGAUGCUUACCUGACUGAGCCACCCAGGUGCUCCUAGAGUGAUCUUGCUAAGCUAGUCACUUCUCCAAUCAAAAUGUACCAAUGACUUCUCGUCUCACUCAGAAUAAAAUCCAAAGUCCUUAUCAUGACCUCUAAGGCUCUCCAUAAUUUAGCUUCUGAUCCUUCUGACCUCAUCUCCAAUACGUUGUCCCUUACCUACUGCCCUUUAUCCAUAUCAGCCUCUCUGAUGUUCCUAGAACACACCAGGCCCCCUCCCACGUUAGGGCUUAAGUUAGCUCCUCCAGGUAGGCUCUUCUCCCAGAUAGCUGCAUACAUUCCUCCCACUUUUCACUUAGGUCUCUGCUCAAAUGCCAGCUUCUCAGAGAGUCCUUCACUGCCCGUCCCAACGAAAACAGCAUAAUUCCAAUAUCCUGUGCCACCAUUUCAACCUCUAUCCUCCUUACAUUGUUUUAUUCCAUCUACCACAUGAAGCAUGGACUUGUUUAUUGUCUUUCUUCCACUGAAAAAUCUGUGAGGGCAGGAACCUCAGCCAUUUUGCUCGCUGCUGUGUCAUCAGCACAUAAAACAGCUCCAGGCACCUAGGAAAACUCUGUGAAUGUAUUGCAUCAUGCAUAUAUACACAUGGAUGAGAAAAUCCCUGUCCUCACUUCAGAGGGAAGUCAAACUAAAGGUAACACAUCAGUUGUAACACAUCCAUCCUUGGGAGGUAGCUCUUGGAAACCCAGCCACUUUGUGGGUAGCAUGUGUGAUACUAGUCUCAGGACACUCUCUCUCUCUCUCUCUCUCCAAUGCAGACAGUGGCAAUAAGUCUGCCAGCCUACCCAAGUGACAGCAAUAACUGUAAUAACAACAAUCGUAAUAGCCAAUAUCACUGAUUGAACACUCAUUUUAUGCCAGGCACUUUUCAAGUGCUUUGUUUUUGUUAACUUAUUUUAACGGCCACAACAACCCUGUGAGAAAGGCCCUGUCAUUUUACCUAUUUACGAUUAGGAAAUUAAGUCACAAGUGGGCUAAGCAACUUGCCUGAAGUCACAAAACUACUUAGUUGCAUAGCUGGGGUUUGAACUAUUACAGGCUGGCUCACAAAUCUAGAUUAUUAACCACAUUGCCACUGGAGUGCAAAUGUUCUUUAUCAUGACUUAUGCUUUGAAACGUAGUUCUGAUUGCCUCUUAGUACACACACACACAUACACACACACGCACGCACACACACACAGAGUAUAUAAUUAAAGCAAAAUCUUCACAAAACAAUACAUGUGCUCUAAUGGAUUGUGAUCAGCAACACAAAAAAUACUGCAACAGACCCUGUUUGAAGACCUCUCCAUUCCUCAUUACAACUACUUCCACCUCUAAUCCUGCAUUCAAACAAGUCCCAGGGGUGAAUUAUACUUAAACCCCUAUGGGCUCAGACAGAAGGGCCUAUUUAGACGUCUCAGACUGUAAGGAAAAGGACAAGUCUGGGAGGACCUGCCUAGAGAGAGGAGGAGGAAAUAUGGAAAAAAAAAAAAAGAAAAAAAAAGAAAAACAAGGUAGAGAAAUUAACUUCACCUCCUACACAAUUUGCCUAAGGCCGGCCCCACCCUGCCAGCCGGAGAGGUUCUGUCACUCUGCAGAACCAGAAGUCAGUCACUAUUGUAAAUAGAAAGGUUAUUUCUAGGGGCCCCUGGGUGGCUCAGUCUGUGAAGCGGCCGACUCUGGCUCAGGUCAUGA
Felis catus (domestic cat) is the source of this 5311-nucleotide long non-coding RNA. RefSeq lists it as uncharacterized. NCBI's taxonomy places the organism in Eukaryota, Metazoa, Chordata, Mammalia, Carnivora, Felidae. The transcript is spliced from 3 exons. The record is from RefSeq and is a predicted model, not a curated record.